AUUGAACGCUGGCGGCAUGAUUUACACAUGCAAGUCGAACGGUAACAGGCCGCAAGGUGCUGACGAGUGGCGAACGGGUUAGUAAUGCAUCGGAACGUGCCCAGUCGUGGGGGAUAACUACUCGAAAGAGUAGCUAAUACCGCAUACGAUCUAUGGAUGAAAGCGGGGGACCGUAAGGCCUCGCGCGAUUGGAGCGGCCGAUGUCAGAUUAGGUAGUUGGUGGGGUAAAGGCUCACCAAGCCAACGAUCUGUAGCUGGUCUGAGAGGACGACCAGCCACACUGGGACUGAGACACGGCCCAGACUCCUACGGGAGGCAGCAGUGGGGAAUUUUGGACAAUGGGCGCAAGCCUGAUCCAGCAAUGCCGCGUGCAGGAAGAAGGCCUUCGGGUUGUAAACUGCUUUUGUACGGAACGAAACGGCUCUGGUUAAUACCCGGGGCUAAUGACGGUACCGUAAGAAUAAGCACCGGCUAACUACGUG
Molecule: ribosomal RNA, 482 nt
Filed under: uncultured bacterium
Lineage: Bacteria
Description: partial 16S ribosomal RNA
Rfam family: Bacterial small subunit ribosomal RNA
Source: RNAcentral